AAAUUGUGAAUUAGUGAGAUUGAACUCACCCAUGGUAUGAAGAACAAUAUGGCACAUAUUUCUUAUAUUAUGCGUUAUUUCAUUUAGAGCAAAUUAGAAUUAUUCACGUUAUACUGAGCGCGACAUUAAUCUAACACUUUACUCACAAAGAUUGGCAGUUGAGUUCAUCAUGGCUUGAAAUUAAAGAAGCUUGCACUAAAAUUGGGCUCUUCAAGUUUCAACAAUUCAAAACAAAAGAAAGGUUGGUUUGUCUAACAUUUUUUUUUUUUUGGUAAGAAUGUUUGGUUGAUCACCUCUUUAAUUCUGUCACCUGCUGCAGCCAGUGAUCCAAACAAAGAUGCACACAAAUCUAUUGGUCAAAAAUUGACUCUAAAUCUAAUAAAUAAAAUCUUUUCAUUUCCUCAACUUAAUUAUCGACCAAUAUGUAACCUACAUCUGCUCUUAAACUUUCACGAAACUCACAAAUUUUGCUCGGCGUCACAGAAAUUUCUUCUCAUUUCAAGUGCAUAUAACACAGUGAGUUGUCUUGACGACCCCUUUUUUAUAUUGUUUCAUCAUCAUAUGGCCGCUGCAUUUCGUGAAAAAGAGGCUUCAAGUGUAUGAAUGAGAUGGUUCUUUAUUUUGCAUGCAACUCUUUUAAGGUAUGUUAAUUGAUUCUUGUUGUUUAAUUCAUUCUUUUUGUUCCUGUUUUACUUAUAAUAAUCAUCAUCAUAACUAUAUUGUUAGUUCAUUCUUUUCUUUGUUGUGGGUAAAAUCUUUGACUUAUAUGCUCCAAACUUCUUAAUGUUAAUUAAAUUCUGCAGCAUUUUUGUUUUCCGAAACGUGUUUCUCUAUUUUCUCGCAUAAAACUUACAGAAAGCAAGAGUGGCUCUUCUGCAUACACCUGUUGUCAUUGCCAUCAGUACUGUUUUUUUUUUUUUUUUCCUUCUCUUUUCUUUUAACUUUUUGUUCUUGUUUUUGUUAUAAUAAGUAAGUUUAAUGGCUGUUAUUUUAUAUAUUUUUAAUGGUUGUUAUUUUAUAUAUUUAGUUUAUUAAGAACCAACUUUGUUCCAUGUUAAUAAUGCAUCAACUAGAGUAAGAGUACCAAUAGACAUGGUUAUUUCUAAAUAAUAGUGACAUUUUGCUAAUAUAUGUAAAGUUUUGUUAUAAUGUUCACUAAAUUUUGAGGUUUCAUAAAACAUAUAUCUUGAGGUAGUGGUUACAGUGGAGCUGCUUCAUUGUGGAACAUUAAUGAUGACCGUCAGAUCAUAAUAGUAAGUGCAUAAUUUAUAUGUAUCUUUGUGAUCAUACGAUCAUCAUCAAUGCUCUACUGUGAAGCAGUUCGUAUCUUGAAAAUUUAUAUUCAAAUUUAAUUUAGAGCUAAUUACAUGAUUUAAAGCGAAAAUGUAGCCCCACUUAGACUUCUUACCUUUUAUUAAAAAAGGAGAAAGAAGAAGACAUUUCAUUCACACAAAAAGAACAAAAUGGAAAAUGAAGUACCAUUAUUAUUUUUUUAUACGUAGAAGUAAUUUGUGUGUGUGUGUGUAUUAAAUGCGUUUUUGGUGCUAUAAUUGGUACUUGAAAAUUGAAAGCAUGUAAAAUUGGUCUAAAGGACCACUCUAAAUGCACACAACACACGCAAACAAAAUGAACUAUAAAAUAUUUUAAUAUUCUAACAUAUGUACAAAAAAUGCAAAAAUAAUAAUACAUUAUACAAUUGUAAAUAUAAUAACUUCUCUAUUUAUUUAUUUAAUAGUAUCAUAAACCAUUGGUCGACAAGAUAAAUAAAUAAAGAAAAAAAAAUCGAGGGUACAAACUUAUAUAUAAUAAAUGUUACUAAUUUGGGGCAGAAAAUAUUAAGGAUUAUGUAGAAAUUAGCAUUAGAAACCUCAAAAAAUAGAAAGGGAAAAAAACUAAUAUAUUUGCAAAUAAAUAUAUGAUAAAAAAUUUAUUUAAGAUUCUUAAAAUUUGAAGCACGUGAGCAUGGAACAAAGCAAGGAAUUUUCUGUCAAACAAAGUACGGCCAGACUUACCAAAUUAGUGUGCGACAAGUCAAGUAGUCAACCAUCUACCAAUCGCAGGCUGUUUUUGAGUAGACUGGUAGCUUCAGUUGACCGUUAGAUAUGAUUAAAAUCAUCAGUCAAACAUCAUCUCCACCGUCCAUCACCGCCUUCAUA
RNAcentral lists this long non-coding RNA (2156 nucleotides) under Citrus sinensis (sweet orange). RNAcentral's name for it is "long non-coding RNA (CSIN_LNC003719)". Lineage: Eukaryota; Viridiplantae; Streptophyta; Magnoliopsida; Sapindales; Rutaceae. The record is from RNAcentral.